This 253-nucleotide ribosomal RNA is filed under the name uncultured bacterium. Its description in RNAcentral is "partial 16S ribosomal RNA". It matches the Rfam family "Bacterial small subunit ribosomal RNA", at positions 524 to 776 of the family's 1533-position model. The record is from RNAcentral.
UACAGAGGGUGCAAGCGUUGUUCGGAAUUACUGGGCGUAAAGCGCGUGUAGGUGGCGAUGUAAGUCGGGUGUGAAAUCCCUCAGCUUAACUGAGGAAGUGCACUCGAUACUGUGUCGCUUGAGUGUUGGAGGGGAUGGCGGAAUUCCCGGUGUAGAGGUGAAAUUCGUAGAUAUCGGGAGGAACACCUGUGGCGAAGGCGGCCAUCUGGACAACUACUGACACUGAGACGCAAAAGCGUGGGUAGCAAACAGG